CCCUUAGAUGUUCUGGGCUGCACGCGCGCUACACUGAAGCGUUCAACGAGUAUUCACCUUGCCCGGGAGGGUUGGGUAAUCUUUUGAAAACGCUUCGUGAUGGGGAUAGAUUAUUGCAAUUAUUAAUCUUCAACGAGGAAUUCCCAGUAAGCGCAAGUCAUCAGCUUGCGUUGAUUACGUCCCUGCCCUUUGUACACACCGCCCGUCGCUACUACCGAUUGGAUGGCUUAGUGAGACCCUCGGACCGAUAGGCUGUCGCCGCGGCAACGUGGCGACCGGCCCGUCGGGAAGAAGGUCAAACUUGACUGUCUAGAGGAAGUAAAAGUCGUAACA
RNAcentral lists this ribosomal RNA (333 nucleotides) under uncultured eukaryote. RNAcentral's name for it is "partial 18S ribosomal RNA". It matches the Rfam family "Eukaryotic small subunit ribosomal RNA", at positions 1470 to 1796 of the family's 1831-position model. The record is from RNAcentral.